UACGGAGGGUGCUAGCGUUGUUCGGAAUUACUGGGCGUAAAGGGCUCGUAGGCGGCCAACUAAGUCAGACGUGAAAUCCCUCGGCUUAACCGGGGAACUGCGUCUGAUACUGGAUGGCUAGAGGUUGGGAGAGGGAUGCGGAAUUCCAGGUGUAGCGGUGAAAUGCGUAGAUAUCUGGAGGAACACCGGUGGCGAAGGCGGCAUCCUGGACCAAUUCUGACGCUGAGGAGCGAAAGCCAGGGGAGCAAACGGG
RNAcentral lists this ribosomal RNA (253 nucleotides) under uncultured bacterium. Its description in RNAcentral is "partial 16S ribosomal RNA". It matches the Rfam family "Bacterial small subunit ribosomal RNA", at positions 524 to 776 of the family's 1533-position model. The record is from RNAcentral.